Molecule: long non-coding RNA, 184 nt
Organism: Aricia agestis (brown argus)
Lineage: Eukaryota; Metazoa; Arthropoda; Insecta; Lepidoptera; Lycaenidae
Exons: 4
Source: RefSeq, a predicted model, not a curated record
CUGUAAUUAAAUAAGUGCUAAACAUAUUUAAGGUUGGGUUGCACCAGAGGCGUGGGUAAAGUUAAAGUUAUGGUGAAAGUUAUGGUUACAGUUCAGGCUAUUUUAACUUUAACCUUAACAUUUAACCACAGAAUUUGACAGAAGACGUUGCUGGUCCGACAAGGCUUUAUAAGAACGUGGGCGG